Molecule: ribosomal RNA, 468 nt
Filed under: uncultured bacterium
Lineage: Bacteria
Description: partial 16S ribosomal RNA
Rfam family: Bacterial small subunit ribosomal RNA
Source: RNAcentral
GACGAACGCUGGCGGCGUGCUUAACACAUGCAAGUCGAACGGAAAGGCCCUGCUUUUGUGGGGUGCUCGAGUGGCGAACGGGUGAGUAACACGUGAGUAACCUGCCCUUGGCUUUGGGAUAACUUCAGGAAACUGGGGCUAAUACCGGAUAGGAGCUCCUGCUGCAUGGUGGGGGUUGGAAAGUUUCGGCGGUUGGGGAUGGACUCGCGGCUUAUCAGCUUGUUGGUGGGGUAGUGGCUUACCAAGGCUUUGACGGGUAGCCGGCCUGAGAGGGUGACCGGCCACAUUGGGACUGAGAUACGGCCCAGCCUCCUACGGGAGGCAGCAGUGGGGAAUAUUGCACAAUGGGCGGAAGCCUGAUGCAGCAACGCCGCGUGCGGGAUGACGGCCUUCGGGUUGUAAACCGCUUUCGCCUGUGACGAAGCGUGAGUGACGGUAAUGGGUAAAGAAGCACCGGCUAACUACGUG